GUUUGUUCUCUGAAUUCACAGCCUGCCAGAAAUGUUUGAACUAAUAGCAACAAGAAUGAAACAUCUCAUUCUUUCCUAGGUCAUCUAAAUUACUUUGACACAAAGAAGCAGCUCAAUUUAAAGCUCAAGCUUCAGGAAAGGGAGCCCAUCAGAAUCCUGAAGGAACCAUUCCAGAACUUAUGAAGCAAAUGAAUCUGAGCAGCAGAAAGGGUGGACCACAGUGGAGGCUGGUGUCCAGAUUCACCGCUUCAGGACUAAAGCACUUAUUUCCUAAGCUGCUGGGUGUGCUGACAGCUGACAACUCUAAUCUGAAUUCCUCUCUGAGAACCAAUUUUGGCUGAAGUCAGUCACCACAUCCAAACUCAUGCCUUAUUCCUGGUAAAGGUGGGACUAUAUAGGUCCAGACAACUUGCCUCAAUAGAGAACAUCUCUGCAGAGCCAUCCUAGCUUGAGCUCCCUGUGGGACUGACCUUUAUUCAGACUGUAUCACCUCAACUUCUUUUACCCAAUCCUGCUUCCUUCACUCCCCCAUGGGUGUUGAUCCAGAGGAUCCCCCUCCUAUAAACUUUCUGCAUGCAAGAAAAAAAAGAGAGAAAAAAGGAGAAAAAAGCAGACAAUAAUUUUUAUUCAUGUGCUUAAAAAGUUGUAAAAUCACCCAAGGAAGCACAUAAGUUGUCAGUAUGUGAACAAUGUUGGAAACAUUUUAUUUUGUCUGAUUUCCUUUGGGAGAAUUCAUUGCCAGCUAUAAAUCUGUGGAAACGCUGCCACACAAUCUUAGCACACAAGAUUGGCAGAAAAUCGCUUAGAAACACUGAAAACAUGUGACAAAGUGCUUUCCGUGAAAAGGGUGGAUGCGAAGCAGUAAGGACCCCCUUCAUGAAGCACGCGGUCACCCUCCAGCCACCAGAACCAGAGGAACGCUGUGGUAACUGAGGGAAAACGCAUCUAGGCACACGUCACGGUGGCACCUUCCAGCAGGUCCCCGGGGUUGUGCCCCUGGAGCUCUGACAAAGAGUGUGGCCCGGAAAUGUGAUGUUUGGACUGCAAGUUUUGGUGAGAAAUAACAAUGCAUCAGGUUGCAGACAAAGCAGACCCUGCUCUGUGCGUUUAUGGGAGCCGCGCCCAACAGGAACCACAGGGAAUGAUCGAAAGGAGAGGGACGGACACAAACAGACACACCAGAGAGAGGUUCUCAGGAGGAGGCUCUGUGGCCUCCAGACCACGUCAAAGCCAAGGCAGAAAGGAUGAACUGAGGAAAGGAGGAAAAUUUCCCCUUAAGGAAGGUAAAAUCCAGAAGGGAUCCCUAAAAUGGUGAGCAGUUUAAACCUAGCAGUUUUGCAUUAAUUCACAUAAAGUAUAAUGAAAACUGUUGGACACACAAGGAGAGACUGGCCAAUCUAUAGUCACAGAGGAAGACCUUCACACCCCUUCACAGGAUCUCGCAGCAGAUUGGCUGAAAAGUCUCCUUGAAACUGCAGACCUCUCUCAAGGAGACCCACUGAGUUGGGCAAAGGUGGGGCCGACUUAAUUCUUGCCUCCCUGCUCUCCCACGUAGCCCUGCAUUUCACUCCAUUCCAGGGUUUCUGGGACACCCGAGAAAGCACGUAGUCCAGGGAGCACGUCUGCCAACUGAAGGCCUUGACAAAUGACUUUCUGUACUGGCUGAGGGCCAGGGCCCAGCGUACUGAUAAGGAAGCUCUUCCAGAAAAAAGUUGGGACAAAGGCAUAUUAGUGAGUGGACACAAACUAGAAAAAUCUCCAAGUAAUACGUUAAUGCCAACAGAAAGCAUCCAUCUUGAAGGAAGCACAAACCAACAACACAUAUAAAAAUGACUCUGGCAAUUCACAUCAGCUAGCCUCUGCAUAGGCCAUCGCAGUACUGGCAAGACAUGAGCUAAGUGGCUACAGCAGCAGGGAGAGAAUUAAUGCAUGGACCCAAAAGCGUGGCUUCCCACUGACUAAGGCUGAUCUAGCUACUGUUGCCACCAAAGUCCAACCUGCCAGCAACAAAAAUCAAUGCUGAGCUCCCAAUAUGCCAUAUUGGGCCCAACCCCUGGGCCCCUGACCAGUACUGGUCUGUGGCCUGUUAGGAAUGGGGUCACAUAGCAGGAAGUGAGCAGCAGGCAGGGAGCAAAGCUUCAUCUGUAUUUACAGCGGCUCCCCAUCACUUGCAUUACCGCCUGGGCUCUGCCUCCUGUGAGAUCAGCUGCUGCAUUAGAUUCUCAUAGGAGUGCGAAUGCUACUGUGAACUGCAUAUGCAAGGGAUCUAGGUUUUGUGCUCCUUAUGAGAACCUAACUAAUGCCGCAUGAUCUGAGGCGGACAGUUUCAUGCCGUAACCAUUCCCAACAACCCCAAAGUCUCUGGAAAAAUUAUCUUCCACGAAACCAGUCCCUGGUGCCAAAAAGGUUGGGGAUUGCUGCAAUAUGGUAUUGUCCAUCACAGAGACAAACCAGCUUCUCGGUGGCCAGACACACUGAACUCCUUCCAUCCUAGAAAGGACAGGACUUCAUUGUGAUACCUAAUCUUGGCGUAACUUAGCCUUUCCUCCCUUCAGGGCCUUAGCCAGCACCACUAUCUGAAAUCUUACAGAGGAUUUGAUUCACUGAUGUGGAAUUCCAUAUAGCACCGUGUAGACCUGGGGAAUCAUUGUACAGCAAAAGAGAUGAGGGAGUGGGUCCACAACCAGGCACAGGUAGAACUCCAGCUUGGAGGCAGGUCUCUGUGAGGAUGGAGGGCCAGCCUCCAAGGUGCUGUAUAUGUAUGAAUUCAAAGAUGAUUCUGUGUCCCCACUAAGAAGAUUACAUGGGGUUUGGGAAUCAAAGAGUGGCAGCAAAAGAACUCUGAUUAGCACCCCCGCCAAUGAGCCACGUGGGGAGUCUCUGCCGCCCCUCCCUGCAGCUCUGGGACCCGCAGCAGAAAGGCCCCUGCAGCAGAAAGGCAAGAGUAUACGGCGGGUGCCACCUGGCCCCGCCAGGCUAACCCAGGGCAAUGCAGAGCAGUGGCAGGGAGAGGGGGUGAGGGGGAAGAAUGGCAGGGGCUGGGGGUGCCAUCACGCCCAGGGCGCGGGCAGGAGCGUGCAGCUGAGCCCUGAACCCACGACGACCUGGAGCUGAGCAGCAAGAGGGUGAGGGGCGCCCGGAUGGCAGUCUAGGAAAGAACUCCCCAGUCCCAGCCAUUGGGUGUGGGAAGUCAGCCUUCACCUCCGCUGAGGUGUGCGCCGGGAUUGCCCCAGAGGAAUGUUGCCUGUGGGGGCCACGCACCUUCCUUCCCAAGACAGACCACGCCCCUCUACCAGGGCAUGCCCCGCCCAUUUCCAGGACAGGCCCCACCCCCUCUCUGGGCAGACCACGCCUCUUCCCAGCGCCGACUCUGCCCUGUCCCAGGAUGGACAGCACUUCAUGAGUGCUCAGUGCAGGGACACAGAGGCCUGGACAUGUUGGUCCAACCUGGAAGGUUCAUUCCAGCUCCAGAGCUCCCUGUAAGAUCCAGCAAGGCUGUCCUGGAGCCUACCCGGCAGCGCGCUUCUCCCUCUGCCUAUCCCUGAUUCCUCAGGUGUUGAUCCCAAGAACACUCCAAAUAAAAUUCCUGCAUGUUAAUCUUCAUCUCAGAGUCUACAUCUAGGGAACACAACCAGUAACAUUAAUUUUUUUUUUUUUUUUUUUGAGACGGAGUCUCGCUCUGUCGCCCAGGCCGGACUGCGGACUGCAGUGGCGCAAUCUCGGCUCACUGCAAGAACAUUAAUUUAUAUUUAAACAUACUCUAAUGUCAUCUACCUCUAAAAAUUUCCAUGGCACUAGUCUUAACAUAAGCCUAUGUAGUUUUCAGUCAUUUAACAUUAUUAUGCCCUUCCACAUUCACCAACUCAUCCCUAGUUUGCUACCUUUCUCCUUUUUCCAUAUCAUAUCCUUGGUUCCACUACGUCUAUCCUACCCCCUCUCUGUGCAGUUUCCAUUGAUUUCUAAGGUAUUUCAACAUAAGUUACCACAGUGCUUUCACUUUAAAUGUUUCUGAUUAAAGGCCAGACCCAAUGGCUCACAUCUGUAAUCCCAGCACUUUGGGAGGCCGAGGCGGGAGGAUCACCUGAGGUCAGGAGUUCGACACCAGCCGGGCCAACAUGAAGAAACCCUGUCUACUAAAAAUACAAAAAUUAGCUGGGCGUGGUGGGGCAUGCCUGUAAUGCCAGCUACUCAGGAGGCUGAGGCAGGAGAAUCGCUUGAACACGGGAGGCAGAGGUUGCAGUGAGCCGAGAUCAUGCCACUGCACUCCAGCCUGGGGGAUAGAGUUAGACUCUGUCUCAAAAAAUAAAUAAAUAAAUAAAUAAAUAAAUGUUUCUGACUAAAAUGAAGAUAUAAGACACAUAUAAAAUAUGUUAUAGAGCAAUAGAUUGGAAGAUCAGAGAGGGAACAGGAUCAAGAGCACACAGAAACACUUUUUCCCUCUCUGAGGGAAGAGUGAAAACACAUAAUUGAUGGAGAAACAAGAUUGUGAGACAGAAAAACAAAAAGGCCUAGGCCCUAGGUCAAGUAUAUGUGAUUCAGGACAGGACUCUAUUCAAAGGGAAUAACUAGAUGUUCCUAAGAGCAUUAACACCCUCCAAGUGUGUGAUUCAGUUCUGAGAUGAACCUAUUACAGGACAAUAUCCAGCUCCCCAGCCUGAGACCUUUGCCAUUUGAGUGAAUAUUUUCCACGCUGGCAGAAACAUGUGAUUUAUUUGCCUGUCUCACUUUCAGGCAAAUCUGCAUAGUAAAUGACAAAAUGUUCCAGGGUUCCUGGGUUUUACUCCUUCCUAACUUUUGUGGGGUUUUGUUUGUGUAUUUCCUUUGGGAUUCAAUAUAGAAAUCCUGCCAAAUAUAUUUGGCAACCAUUGUCCUUGACAUGAACUGUUCUUUCACAUUUUAUCUAAAACUAAUCGGAAAACCUAUUAUAUUCCCUGACCUGUGGUUAGAAGAAACUGAGCAGCUGCGGGAACAGAUAAUAUAAAACUGAAUUUUCCCAGCUGUUUAUUUCAAACCUUGGCAGAGGCUGUCAGGAUGUGUCCAGAGUCAGCUUAUCCUGUUAAUCAGCAUCAAAAUAAUCUAAAGUAUAAAAGGGUUUCAUUAAAAUAAAAAUUCUAUCAACUUUUUUCUGGUAAAUACAUGUGACUGCCUAUACAAUAACAGAAAGCUAGAUAAUAAAUUAAUGAUGUAUUCCAUUCAAUUCAAUUUUAUACUCAAACUAUUAUUCUCUGUGCCUCAGGCUGCAUGCUAGAUGGACACUAAUAUACACAGUGUAUUAAGUAAAAUUAUCUCAAUAUUAAUUGUUAACAGGGCUAACUUUAAUGGAUAAAUGGUUGUUUAGUUAGAUGCCAGGCUACUGACAACCUGGGCCUCUACUUUCAAGGUCACUAACAUUGCUCAUCUGCAGGCUAUAUAGGCUGUAGAACGAACUUGGAUCCCCUCCUCACACCAUAUACCAAAAUUAACUCCAAGUGGAUCAAUGACCUCAAUGUAAGAACUAAAACUAUAAAAGUCUCAAAAGAAAAUAUAGGUUUAAAUCUUAGUGAUCUUUGAUUUGACAUUGAUUUCUUAGAUAUGACAACAAAAAUACAAGCAACCAAAGGGGUAAAAUAAAUAAAUAUUGGAUUUCAUCAAAAUGAAAAACUUUGUGCAUCACAGGAUACUAUUAGGAAAGUGAAAAUACUACCCACAGAAUGGGAAAAAAUAUUUUCAUGUCAUAGCUCUGAUAAGGGUAUAAUAUUAAGAAUAAAUAAAGAACUUAUACAACUCAGUACUAAAAAACAAAUAAUCCAAUUAAAAACACGCAAAGCAUUUAAAUAGACAUUUCUCCAAAGGAGAUACACAAAUGGUCAAUAAACACAUGAAAAGACUCUCAACAACGUAAGUCAUCAGGGAAAUGCAAAUCCAAACUACAAUGAGAUAUCACUUUAUCCACACUAGGAUGAGUAUAAUUAAAAAGACAGACAGUAACAAGUGUUGAUAAGAAUAUGGAAAAAUUGGAACACUCAUACUUUGGUAGUGAAAAUGUAAAAUGGUGCAGCUGCUUUGAAAAAGUCUGGCAGUUCCUCUAAAAGUUAAACAUAGAAUUACCAUGUGACCUAGCAAUUAUAUUCCUAAGUAUAUUCCGAAGAGAAAUAAAAGCAUAUGUACACAAAGACUUGUACAUGAAUGUUCUAUAGCAGCAUUAUUCAUAAUAGCCAAAAGGGGAAACAAUCCAAAAGUCCAUCAACAGAUGAAUGGAUAAACAAAAUGUGGUCUAUCCAUACAAUGGAGUAUUAUUCAGCCAUAAAAAGGAGUUAAAUUCUGAUACAUACUACAACAUGGAAGAUUUUUUUAAAUUAAAAAAUGAAAAUAGUUUCAUUCUUACUAUAUCUUUAUUUUCUUAUUUUAACUCCUCUAUCAUUCUGCAAAAAUGGAAGAAUCUUGAAAACAUGCUAAGCAAAAGAUGCUAGACACAAAAGGCCACAUAUUUUAUCCCUUCAUUUACAUGAAAUAUCCAGAAUAGGCAAAACCACAGUGACGGAAAGUAGGUUAAUGGUUGCCAGGGGCUGGGGAAAGGAAGAAAAUUAGAAGUGACUGUUUAAUGAUUACAGGGUUUCUUUUUGAGGUGAUGAAAAUAUUCUGGAAUUAAAUAAAGAUGAUAGUUGUACACUUUACGGAUUCACUAAAAACCACUGAAUUGUACACUUUCAAAUGGUGAAUUUUAUGAUAUGUAAAGUAUAUGUCAAUAAAAAUGUGGAGAUUUAGGAAAGGAAAAGAAUCUCCACACUGAAAAUAAGUGAUUUUUACAGUAUGUAAAUCAUACCUCCAAGGAGUGAAAAAAUGGUAAGGAAAUAUUCUGAACUUUAUACUAUUAAAUUCAACAGCUCAGAUGGAAUUUCUUUUCUUUUUUUGAGACAGAGCCUUGC
Molecule: long non-coding RNA, 6905 nt
Filed under: Homo sapiens (human)
Lineage: Eukaryota; Metazoa; Chordata; Mammalia; Primates; Hominidae
Description: HSALNT0287747
Source: RNAcentral